This is a long non-coding RNA of Aplysia californica (California sea hare), 477 nucleotides long. RefSeq lists it as uncharacterized. Lineage: Eukaryota; Metazoa; Mollusca; Gastropoda; Aplysiida; Aplysiidae. The transcript has 2 exons. The record is from RefSeq and is a predicted model, not a curated record.
AUAACUGGACGCUACGACUCAUACCUACCUCCAUCCAUUAGAUAGUUCAUUCUCUUACUUUCGUCCAUGAAAGCUGCUCGUAGCUUUGUUGCCGUGUCCAACCCUGCUGAAAAUAAAGUUACCACUGUAGAGAAUUGUAAAGAUGUCCCGCUCCCUGAAAACAUGGACAAUGUGCCUCUGCUUGCUUUUCUGCAUAUUUAGUUCGGGCCUGACUUACAGUUAUCCCCCGGAGAGACAGGAAGACUGCGAGGAAAUUUGUGAGCUCAUGAUGGCGCAGUGUUUUGCAGACGAGGUGUGUGGAGACAGUGUGGUGUGCCAGAUGAGCUGUCACGAGAGAGCCUCUUCUUGCUACAGCCGAUGUGUGCUCCGAUUAGACAGUGAAGGGAAAAUACACAUCGAGAGGCCCGUAGCUUCCGAGAACACGUAAUGGGUUUGAUUUUUUUUAAGGCGAAAUAAAAUCUGUAAUCAAAAGAAAAC